RNAcentral lists this long non-coding RNA (1585 nucleotides) under Zerene cesonia (dogface butterfly). RNAcentral describes it as "uncharacterized LOC119837322". Lineage: Eukaryota; Metazoa; Arthropoda; Insecta; Lepidoptera; Pieridae. The record is from RNAcentral.
CCAGCUACAUUUAUCAAGCUAAUUUCCGGUGCAACGUUACUUCUCUAUAAUGAGUACACAUUUUCGAAGAGAUGCCAGAUUCGGGAUGGCGCUUGGAGAGCCUGUAUUUAUUCAACUAAGAUCUGGAACAAUUUUACUUCUGCACGAAGGACACACUUUCUCGAAGAGAUACUCAAAUCAACGUAACAGAAGUCAUAGAUACACUUGCUCCUGCUACAUCAGUAAAGACUGCCAGGCCUAUUUAAUCGUGUCUUUUGAAAACAAAAUUUUACAAGUAAAUAGCGAACAUAACCAUAAUCCGCAUACAUUGACCAAAAUAUCAGACGGAACCUACAUUCGUUCGUAAAUACUAGAAACAAGAUUAUUACUCGAAUCGAUUAUAAAUCUAUCUUUCUGUAACACACAUGUGUAUUACUUUUGAAACAUAAAUGUUAACCUAAUAUAUAUUUUAAGAGGAAAGAUUUGUUUGUUUGCGCGUGGUUGUAGCCCAAUUCGCUCAGCUGUAAAGCCAGCGCCUUAUGCGAUGUAGGUGUCACUAGGGUAAGGAAGGAGGUGUCAAUAAGAAUCCAAAAUUUAUGCCCGUGACACCCGUGCGUAGUGCCCUUAAUGUUUAAAAAAUACGUAUUUAGGUUUACGUAUUUAUUUAUAUCAUUAUGUAUUUAUAAUAUAUAUUAUAUAAUGGAUCAUUGACUGGGAAUCAUACUGUUAUUUAAGCCGCAAGUCGUACUAUAACGGUGUUCGCUGAAAACUGGUUUUACAGAUUCUCUCUGUAACUUAUACUGAUGUGGGAACCACUUUCGCAUCAUUACUUAAAUUUGUAUAUUACUAAAUUGUUUGAUCUCCUACUUACUGUAUUCCUGUUUUGGUGUCAAAUAAAUGUCUAUGUCUUAAUAUACCAUAAGAGAUAAAGCAUUAAUUAACUUUGAAUAAUUUUCCAAAAUAAACCACGACCAAAACGAUUACUAUACAGUAGGUAUAUAUAAUGAAACAAAAUAUAUUUUGAAAAUGGUUCAAAUUAUUUCUUAACGAAUGUAAUUCUCAUAAAAAACUCAACAAACAAUAUUAACUACAAUAAAAAAUUACAGCUGUUUUUAUCAAAAUGGCAUCUGGCACAAAAUUAUUGUUGUACAAUGAAUACACUUUCUCGAGAAGCAACUAUGCAAAGGACGGUGCGUGGAGAUACGCCUGUUCGUCAAGGAGGCGAAGACAAUGCAAGGCAAUGGUGCACGUAGUGGACAACACCAUAACUCGCGUGAAGGAAGAUCAUAACCACGCACCCUGCAAGCUAUAUCAGACUCCCAAUGGAUGUUAUAUUCGAGCUUGAGGAAGAUUUAGGGGAAGUACCCCCACAGAAAACCGGCGUGAAAUGGUGUGUUCCGUACGGUGAACGAGAGGCACGGUUUAAAUUGUGGGAUGAAUGUUCAUAAGACUGACGACGAGACGCUUUAAAAAUAAAGUAAAAAUUAAUUCGGCAUGUCGUGACGACAUAAGCGGUGCAUCAAGUUUUUUCUUUAUUUUUUUAUAUAUUCUCGUUGUUGUAUACUCACCAUUUUGCGGGUACUUAAUAUAUAGUCAAUGUUUUCUA